AUUACAGCUGUUCAUCCUGCAGCCUUCAAAGAUCUCCCCAGGGAGUGUGGAGGGGACGCCAUUACUGACGCUGUUGAAGGACCCGUACAUCCUCAUUAGUGCAGGUUCUCUGUGUUUUGCCAACAUGGGUGUGGCCAUCCUGGAGCCGACCCUGCCUAUCUGGAUGAUGCAGACCAUGUGCU
This is a long non-coding RNA of Notothenia coriiceps (black rockcod), 182 nucleotides long. RefSeq lists it as uncharacterized. Lineage: Eukaryota; Metazoa; Chordata; Actinopteri; Perciformes; Nototheniidae. The record is from RefSeq and is a predicted model, not a curated record. The transcript has 3 exons.